RNAcentral lists this ribosomal RNA (160 nucleotides) under uncultured bacterium. Its description in RNAcentral is "partial 16S ribosomal RNA". It matches the Rfam family "Bacterial small subunit ribosomal RNA", at positions 355 to 507 of the family's 1533-position model. RNAcentral also lists the same sequence under 1 other name. The record is from RNAcentral.
UGGGGAAUUUUGGACAAUGGGCGCAAGCCUGAUCCAGCAAUGCCGCGUGAGUGAAGAAGGCCUUCGGGUUGUAAAGCUCUUUCAGUUGAGAAGAAAAGAUUGUAACUAAUAAUUGCGAUCCAUGACGGUAUCAACAGAAGAAGCACCGGCUAACUACGUG